This 484-nucleotide ribosomal RNA is filed under the name uncultured bacterium. Its description in RNAcentral is "partial 16S ribosomal RNA". It matches the Rfam family "Bacterial small subunit ribosomal RNA", at positions 30 to 507 of the family's 1533-position model. The record is from RNAcentral.
AUUGAACGCUGGCGGCAGGCCUAACACAUGCAAGUCGAGCGGAUGAAGGGAGCUUGCUCCUGGUUUCGGGGGGGGAGGGGGAGGUAAUCCCUAGAAUUAUCCUUGGUAGUGGGGGAUAACGUCCGGAAACGGUGGGUAUUACGCCAUAGGUCCUGGGGGGAAACGUGGGGGAUUUUGGGACUUCACGCCUUUGGUUGAUCGUAGGUCGGCUUAGCUAGUUGUUGGGGUAAAGGCCUCUCAAGGCGACGUUCCGUAACUGUACUGAGGGGAGGAUCAGCAACACUGGAAGUUAGACACGGUCCAGACGCCUACGGGAGGCAGCAGUGGGGAAUAGUGGACAAUGGGCGAAAACCUGAUCCAGCCGUGCCGCGUGUGUGAAGAAGGUCUUCGGAUUGUAAAGCACGUUAAGUUGGGAGGAAGGGCAGUAAGUUAAUACCAUGCUGUUUUGACGUUACCAACAGAAUAAGCACCGGCUAACUUCGUG